AUUGAACGCUGGCGGCAGGCCUAACACAUGCAAGUCGAGCGGAUGAAGGGGGCUUGCUCCUGGAUUCAGCGGCGGACGGGUGAGUAAUGCCUAGGAAUCUGCCUGGUAGUGGGGGAUAACGUCCGGAAACGGGCGCUAAUACCGCAUACGUCCUGAGGGAGAAAGUGGGGGAGCUUCGGACCUCACGCUAUCAGAUGAGCCUAGGUCGGAUUAGCUAGUUGGUGGGGUAAAGGCCUACCAAGGCGACGAUCCGUAACUGGUCUGAGAGGAUGAUCAGUCACACUGGAACUGAGACACGGUCCAGACUCCUACGGGAGGCAGCAGUGGGGAAUAUUGGACGAUGGGCGAAAGCCUGAUCCAGCCAUGCCGCGGGUGUGAAGAAGGUCUUCGGAUUGUAAAGCACUUUAAGUUGGGAGGAAGGGCAGUAAGUUAAUACCUUGCUGUUUUGACGUUACCAACAGAAGAAGCACCGGCUAACUUCGUG
This 484-nucleotide ribosomal RNA is filed under the name uncultured bacterium. RNAcentral's name for it is "partial 16S ribosomal RNA". It matches the Rfam family "Bacterial small subunit ribosomal RNA", at positions 30 to 507 of the family's 1533-position model. The record is from RNAcentral.